AACAAAUAAAAGUACAUGGAGGAUGACAUACACCUUAGCCUCCAAAGAGUGAUGACAAUUGAUACUAAUGAUUCAUAUGCUAAAUUACAAAAAGAAUAUUGCCGAAAUAUGAGAGGACUCCUCCCUCCAAUACACGAUUUGUACAAGUAAUAGCUUACUUAUAAUUCACUGCUAAUAUUCUUCAUCUCAAUCAUUUGGAAUAUUAAAAGAUAAAAAUCUGGAAUGGCAUCUUGCUCUUGCUUCAAGAAAGCUCUAAAUUGCCUAGGCAAACAUAGAGCUUUCUAUGAGAAAAAAGUGAUUUUUGUCUCUUUCGCCCAAGCUUAGCAUUUGAUCUGUAACAACAUUUCCUUCCCUAAUUGUGCCAUGGGGACCUAACUUUCAUAUUGAUUAUGUUGACAAUCGAAAGAGAGUCGAACUUUACCACAAGCUUUAGUAAAUUAAACCUACCAAUGCAUAAGUUCAAGCCCUGUAGAAUUGUCUUAGCUUCUGCCAUGCAUAUUAUUGCUACAAUGUAUGUAGUAUCCAGCAAAAGCUACUACCAUAUGUCCAUAAUAAUCACUGAUUAUGCUACCCGCUCAAGUACUCCCAGGGUUUACUACAGCCAUCUACAUUCAUUUUUAUCUAGUCCUCCUUAGGUUUGGCCCAUUUUACCAACUGACUUUGGAGGACUUCUUGCAGUUUUUCCACUCUAGCACAUUUAUCCUUUCAAGCUAAAGGUAAUUGCAACUUAGAGAAUUGACACUGGAAAAUCAGAGAUACUUGAUGGCACACUUGCCAUAUGGAUGCCUACCAGACAUGUGGAAUUUUCAAACCUUGUUCUUAGCAGAUUACAGAUGAUAGGUACUGUAGUAGCAUUCCAAGAACUUCAUUAUUUGGUUUAGUCAGCCACCAUUAUAAUGCCAAGCUUCUAAAAAUUCCUGGUGUAUACUUAAUGCCACAGUUACUAGUAAAGUAUGCACAAACUUGUCUUGCUAUGUCAUUAUGCCCAAAAAGGUGUGUAAUAGUCUCCUGUUGAGGACAGGUAUAAUAGUUGCAUCUUGAAGGAAUCAUAAAACCAAACAUUUGAGCAGUUUCAUCAGUUGGUACUCUAUUUUGUUGGAGCCUCAUCAUGAGAAAGGAGACCUUAAAAGAUAUUUUUCUGUGCCAAACAUACUUGCAAACAAAGAUUUUAUUUCUAACAUUCCUCAAUUGUUGCCAUGUAGACUUGGUGGAGAAACUGCUUGAGUUUUCCAGUGUCCAACAUGCCCAAUUUUUCCUCCUCCACACAAUUUAACUUUUUGGAUCUUAUUGACAACUGUAGCAGAGAAGAGACGACUAAGUUUAUCUCACCUCAAACUUCUAUUAGAUUGGAGUCGCUCGGAGGUCGAUUCGCGGGGCAAGGGCUUUUUGGAGUAUUAAUCUCCGUGCUUUGAGAUCCAGGUACUUAGGACGUGGUGAUUGCUAGAGUUGUGUUGGUACCAGCCUUUUUGGAGACUACGAGGUAGCUGCUAUGUCGUCUGCAGACUUUGAAGUUCUCUUUCAUUUAUUAUGUUAUUACUGUUCUAUUAUUUAGACAGUGUACUGAGGAUUUGGCCUUGUAUUUUAAUAUUCAAUAGUGCUCAUGUACUCGUUGACACUAGAUCAUUGGGAUGGCUGUAAAAGUAUUACUGUUGUUUUGCGAUUAUCU
This is a long non-coding RNA of Nicotiana tabacum (common tobacco), 1666 nucleotides long. RefSeq lists it as uncharacterized. Lineage: Eukaryota; Viridiplantae; Streptophyta; Magnoliopsida; Solanales; Solanaceae. The record is from RefSeq and is a predicted model, not a curated record.